CUCUUCUCUGAAUUCUUCAGCCAUAUCGAGAUUCGAACCUGUGACUUAAGGUUCAAACCCUAGAAUUAAAUACCUCUUAUAGCUUCGUUCAACGAAUCGGCAUCAAAUAUGGACAUACAUGUUCGAAUUCAAAAUUUAUGAAGAGGUGAAGAGGCAAAACGAAGGAUCAAAAAAUAGCAACCAAAUGAGAUCAAAUUCCCUCUUCCAGUUUGAUCUACAUUGGUGGCUAUUAUUGAAUUCUUGCCAAGAAAACAUAAGGGAGCUAUUGGGUCGCUUGAUUACAGUAAGGAAGAAAGGAGUGCUCUUGCCAUUAAGUCCCGAGUUCAUCCAUCAAAGUUUGGAAAUUCAGACCGUCAGAAACUAAUGAGGGUGCCCAUUGCGUGUGGCAUUUUCCCAGCUUUUGCAUGCUUGAUACUCAAGGGUUUCCAUUGCGUGUGGCAU
This is a long non-coding RNA of Cryptomeria japonica (Japanese cedar), 441 nucleotides long. RefSeq lists it as uncharacterized. NCBI's taxonomy places the organism in Eukaryota, Viridiplantae, Streptophyta, Pinopsida, Cupressales, Cupressaceae. The transcript has 5 exons. The record is from RefSeq and is a predicted model, not a curated record.